GCGAAGUGAUGAUAGAAAUUCAUUUGUCUGUCAAUCCUCUGAUAUUUUUUGAUGUAUUUAUGAAUCCCGACAGGUUCUGAUCGU
Non-coding RNA from Cicer arietinum (chickpea), 84 nucleotides. Lineage: Eukaryota; Viridiplantae; Streptophyta; Magnoliopsida; Fabales; Fabaceae. The record is from Rfam.